GCACUGCUGAGGAGAUCGAACCAGGUCGAAACAGCUGUCCAGUGC
Echinostoma caproni is the source of this 45-nucleotide non-coding RNA. NCBI's taxonomy places the organism in Eukaryota, Metazoa, Platyhelminthes, Trematoda, Plagiorchiida, Echinostomatidae. The record is from Rfam.